AGAUUGAACGCUAGCGGGAUGCUUUACACAUGCAAGUCGAACGGCAGCGCGGACUUCGGUCUGGCGGCGAGUGGCGAACGGGUGAGUAAUAUAUCGGAACGUGCCCAGUAGCGGGGGAUAACUACGCGAAAGCGUGGCUAAUACCGCAUACGCCCUACGGGGGAAAGGGGGGAUUCUUCGGAACCUCUCACUAUUGGAGCGGCCGAUAUCAGAUUAGCUAGUUGGUGAGGUAAAGGCUCACCAAGGCGACGAUCUGUAGCUGGUUUGAGAGGACGACCAGCCACACUGGGACUGAGACACGGCCCAGACUCCUACGGGAGCAGCAGUGGGAAUUUGGACAAGUGGGGGAAACCUGACUCCAGCCAUCCCGCGUGUGCGAUGAACGGUCCG
This 390-nucleotide ribosomal RNA is filed under the name uncultured soil bacterium. RNAcentral describes it as "bacterial SSU rRNA". It matches the Rfam family "Bacterial small subunit ribosomal RNA", at positions 26 to 419 of the family's 1533-position model. The record is from RNAcentral.